This 434-nucleotide ribosomal RNA is filed under the name uncultured bacterium. RNAcentral's name for it is "partial 16S ribosomal RNA". It matches the Rfam family "Bacterial small subunit ribosomal RNA", at positions 29 to 507 of the family's 1533-position model. The record is from RNAcentral.
GCGAACGCUGGCGGCAGGCUUAACACAUGCAAGUCGAGCGGGCAUCUUCGGAUGUCAGCGGCAGACGGGUGAGUAACACGUGGGAACGUACCCUUCGGUUCGGAACAACUCUGGGAAACUGGAGCUAAUACCGGAUACGCCCUUAUGGGGAAAGGUUUACUGCCGAAGGAUCGGCCCGCGUCUGAUUAGCUAGUUGGUGGGGUAACGGCCUACCAAGGCGACGAUCAGUAGCUGGUCUGAGAGGAUGAUCAGCCACACUGGGACUGAGACACGGCCCAGACUCCUACGGGAGGCAGCAGUGGGGAAUAUUGGACAAUGGGCGCAAGCCUGAUCCAGCCAGGCCGCGUGAGUGAUGAAGGCCUUAGGGUUGUAAAGCUCUUUUGUCCGGGAAGAUAAUGACGGUACCGGAAGAAUAAGCCCCGGCUAACUUCGUG